This 281-nucleotide ribosomal RNA is filed under the name uncultured prokaryote. RNAcentral's name for it is "partial 16S ribosomal RNA". It matches the Rfam family "Bacterial small subunit ribosomal RNA", at positions 524 to 803 of the family's 1533-position model. The record is from RNAcentral.
UACGUAGGGGGCUAGCGUUAUCCGGAAUUACUGGGCGUAAAGGGUGCGUAGGUGGUUUCUUAAGUCAGAGGUGAAAGGCUACGGCUCAACCGUAGUAAGCCUUUGAAACUGGGAGACUUGAGUGCAGGAGAGGAGAGUGGAAUUCCUAGUGUAGCGGUGAAAUACGUAGAUAUUAGGAGGAACACCAGUUGCGAAGGCGGCUCUCUGGACUGUAACUGACACUGAGGCACGAAAGCGUGGGGAGCAAACAGGAUUAGAUACCCCCGUAGUCCCUGAGCGGG